RNAcentral lists this long non-coding RNA (1204 nucleotides) under Ursus americanus (American black bear). RNAcentral's name for it is "lncRNA (ENSUAMG00000022577.1)". The record is from RNAcentral. Lineage: Eukaryota; Metazoa; Chordata; Mammalia; Carnivora; Ursidae.
AUGUGUUUUCCUGUUUUCCAUUUCGGUCCCCGUCACCCUCUGCCUUUUCUGCUCCUCGGAGUCAACAGCUGCUGCAGCUCGAGCCUUAGCCGGCUUCCCUUCCUAGCACCUUCCCCUCCCCCGCCCCCCAGCGUGCUGGUAGCCCCUCCUCCUCGCACCUGCCCAAAGGUCACGGGACAGGUAAUUGACGAGGGAGCCAUCUGAAGUGUUUUCCUGUCUGAGGGGAAGGCCUAGCGAUGGGGCAGGUCGGAGCAGGUCGGAGCGGGUGAGAGGUGGGGGAGAUGCGCAGUGCCCUUCAGAGCCUGGACUCUGCUGGCGAGGCUCCCCGCCUCCCUGGCUAGUUUGCACCCUGGCACGUGGCUUAGUGCCAGCCGUAAGGGGCUGCAGGCGGGAUUGGGCCAGAUAAGGCAUUUGGGUGCUUAGCAUAUGUCUGGCACUGGGUAAGUGCUCCAUAAAUGACCGCUAUCAUUAUCAGAGCCUGGAGGGGGCAGCUGGAAGCCAAGGACAGGACCCUCUGGAGGGAUUUCCAGAUAUUUGUGAGGAUGGCUUGGGGGAAGCGUGAUCUCUGGGAAGGCUGACACCAGGAUAUUCAAUUAAGGGGCUUGAAUGCAAAGACACAGGGUAGAGAUAAGCCCCCACCCCCUGGGGAUUUUUAGAUCUUUAUUCUCCGGUUGUAGAAUAACCAAAGAGGGUUAGAAAGAGUGUGGGAAGACACCGACAGAUUUCAGAACAGAUAGGAUGUAUUUCAGUUGGUAAAAGAGACCCAGAAUACCAGAUUGAAGUAGACUAUGAAGAUAGACUAUGUGAUUUCCAAAAAAUGUUUAACUUUCUCUGUUCUGGGCCUGUCUGUCCAGGAUAGCUCAAUGAAAUCUUAUUUCUCCGUAUUUUUAGGAAAUUGGAUUAAACUUAUAGGUGGGAAGGUGUUUAUAGGAAUUUAUGGUUUCUUUUGAGGAUGGAAGGGCACCAUGCAGCCAGGGGUUUGAAUCUCCUUUCUUGACCUUGUUUCCUUGGAAGUAGCUUGAGGCUCAGCCAUGGGGUCCUGGCUCAAAUUUGGGGGCAGCUAUCCUUUGCUCUGAGGGGAAGUGUGCAGAGUUCCUCUCUAAGGACUCCCGUCACAAGGCCACGAGGCGUGGGGACUGCACUCACACUUCCUCUAAUCUCAGCACAGCACCGAGCCUUUGUGGCACCCUUGCCACCUCCCUGC